Molecule: RNA transcript, 2607 nt
Organism: Carlito syrichta (Philippine tarsier)
Lineage: Eukaryota; Metazoa; Chordata; Mammalia; Primates; Tarsiidae
Gene name: F-box-like/WD repeat-containing protein TBL1XR1 pseudogene
Exons: 1
Source: RefSeq, a predicted model, not a curated record
AGGGUUAUAUCCUGUGUUGUGACCUCAUGGUUUAAGUGGGAAUAAAGAUGAGUAUAAGCAGUGAUGAGGUCAACUUCUUGGUAUAUAGAUACUUGCAAGAGUCAGGAUUUUCUCAUUCAGCAUUUACCUUUGGUAUAGAAAGCCAUAUCAGUCAGUCCAAUAUAAACGGUGCCCUCGUCCCACCUGCUGCAUUGAUUUCUAUCAUUCAGAAAGGUCUACAGUAUGUAGAGGCAGAAGUUAGUAUCAAUGAGGUUGGUACCUUGUUGGACGGUUGACCAAUAGAGUCUCUGUCCCUGAUAGAUGCCUGAUGCCUGAUGUAGUACAAACACGACAGCAAGCGUACAGAGAUAAGCUGGCCCAGCAACAGGCCGGAGUUGCAGCUGCCGCUGCCACCACCACAAACCAGCAGGGAUCUGCAAAAAAUGGAGAAAACACAGCCAACGGGGAGGAGAAUGGAGCGCAUGCUACAGCAAAUAAUCACACUGAUAUGAUGGAAGUGGAUGGGGAUGUUGAAAUCCCUAACAAAGCAGUCGUGUUGCGGGGCCACGAAUCUGAAGUUUUCAUCUGUGCCCGGAACCCUGCUAGUGAUCUGGCAUCGGGGUCUGGAGACUCAAACAGCAAGAAUAUGGAAUCUUAGUGAAAAUAGCACUAGCGGCUCCACACAGUUAGUACUUAGACAUUGUAUACAAGAAGGAGGACGAGAUGUUCCAAGCAACAAGGAUGUCACAUCUCUCGAUUGGAAUAGUGAAGGUACACUUCUAGCAACGGGCUCAUAUGAUGGAUUUGCCAGAAUAUGGACUAAAAAUGGGAACCUUGCUAGCACCUUGAGACAGCAUAAAGGCCCUAUAUUUGCAUUGAAGUGGAAUAAGAAAGGAAAUUUUAUUCUAAGUGCUGGAGUAGAUAAGACUACAAUUAUUUGGGAUGCACACACUGGAGAAGCCAAGCAACAAUUUCUGUUUCAUUCAGCACCAGCAUUGGAUGUUGACUGGCAGAGCAACAACACCUUUGCUUCUUGUAGUACAGAUAUGUGCAUUCAUAUCUGUAAAUUAGGACAAGACAGACCUAUUAAAAUAUUCCAAGGACAUACGAAUGAAGUAAAUGCUAUCAAAUGGGACCCAACUGGCAACCUCCUGGCCUCCUGUUCUGAUGACAUGACUCUGAAGAUAUGGAAUAUGAAACAAGACAAUUCUGUUCAUGAUUUGCAAGCACAUAAUAAAGAAAUUUAUGCUAUCAAAUGGAGUCCAACAGGACCAGGAACAAAUAAUCCAAAUGCCAACCUCAUGUUAGCAAGUGCAUCCUUUGAUUCUACUGUUAGGUUAUGGGAUGUAGACCGAGGGAUUUGCAUCCAUACUUUGACAAAACACCAAGAACCUGUGUACAGUGUAGCUUUCAGUCCUGAUGACAGGUAUCUGGCAAGUGGUUCUUUUGACAAAUGUGUGCACAUCUGGAACACACAGACAGGUGCUCUAGUUCACAGUUAUAGGGGAACAGGUGGAAUUUUUGAAGUUUGCUGGAAUGCAACAGGAGACAAAGUUGGAGCCAGUGCAUUAGAUGGUUCAGUUUGUGUAUUAGACCUUUGGAAAUAGCGCUAAUAGUUGGAAGCUGUGGACCGACUAUGAAUGUGUACAUAGCCAAAAUGACUGUCCCUGACCCAUGUACUGCUAUAGUCCCACUAAAAUCUAAAAGAAAUAUAUACAUACAGUGUAUAUAAACAAAAUUGCACCCUGAAGAUGACAGAGUUUUGUCACAGCUUGUGAAUUCUGUUCACCAAGUGCUGGAAUCUAAUCUGCUGUGCCCCUAAAAAUAGCAUUUAGAAGUUUUGGAUAUGAAAAACAGAAGAAAGAAAAAUAUACAUUAUUAAAGCAGACCAUACAUGUACCAGUUUUUGGAUACUAAUGACAACCUUGUUUUUCCUCUUUGAAUCAGCAGACACCAUGGAUUAUAUUCUUUUUUCCCUUUGGUAGUGAGCAGUUUGUAUGUACAGAGAAAAUGGAUGUUAAAAACUUGAAGCAGUAGUUUGUUCUUGCUUUUACAGUUUGGUUUUGGUUUAGAUUAUGGAUGCAUGAAGUAAGGGAGUGAAUCAGUUUCUUGUUUAUAUUUUUUCACCUUUUAAGCAACAAAAAAAUUCUUAAAAAUACUUUAAUGCAUUCUUUUGAAGAGGUAGAUGUUUGGUACAUUUUAUGGCUCCCAGAGCAUUUAUUCAAUUGGUGCAUGUUGUAGAAGCGGGAAUUGGAAAUUAAAUGAAAACAUAUGACUUUGGUCAUGUCAAUCCAUAAGACACAUCAGUAAAAGGGUAUUAUGCUCUGUUUUUGUUUUGUUUCUUGUUUUGUUUUGUUUUUUUUCUUUUUGGUUAUGUGGCUUAAAUGCAAUAGUUUCUUUUUUGGGACAUAUUUCUGCCAAUUAAAGACUAGAAGGGCACAAAAUGUUUGUUAAAAAAAAUACCAUAGAGAAGAUAACAUUAAAAAAAAAAUCUUCUGAUGUUUUGUAGCCAUAGCUAAAUUAUGGUAAAAAUGUGCACUAUUGUGAAGGAGCAAAGUAGUUUUGGGUUUUUGUUGUUUGUUUGUUUUGCUUUGUUUUUAGAGAGAUUAAAAUGUUUCUGGAUAAGGA